AAAAUCUGAAUCCUUAAAAAAACUAGAAAGUUAAUUGUACUAUCUUGUAUAAAGCAUCAAAUUGAUGGAGUACAGGACAGAUUUGACCACACCUUUUUACAACAUAUCUAAACCUUCCUGUGUUACAAUUUAUUAUUUUAAAGUAUUGCUGGACAGAGAUUAUUCAUAUUACAUUAUCAGCCUUUGUUUCUCUGCACUAAUAUAUUUUGGUAAAACUAUUCACCCAGAAUUAAAAUAGUGUCAAAUGAAGCCGUAGAUGAAAAAGGAAUAGAUUGUAUGAUUCCCUAGUAACUGUGUGAACAGAACUGAUCAGGUAACACAGCUCUGGUGUUAAUUUCCUUACCAUAAAAGGAAAGAUGCUGACCUCAAAUUUAACCUCUGAAAGAGACCUGUUCACAAGCUUUUACACAAGAGAGAAAAUCAGCUUUCCUCACAUUUUUUUUUUUUUUAAUGGGAAACCUGACCACAGAGUCAUCUCUGUGAUUAUGAAACCAAACUAAGACUGCACAGCUUUCUGUUUAGGUUGUCCCACCCAGUAGGCAAGUAUAUAUCAACAUGGACAUGAUAUUUAACUUAGGGAUGCUUUAGAUACCAAGACCGGAGAAUGGUGAUGGGUCUUAGAAUGCCACAUUUGAGCAAGUAAAAUAGUAAAGCACAUAGUGAGUGUACAUCCAUC
RNAcentral lists this long non-coding RNA (676 nucleotides) under Bos taurus (domestic cattle). RNAcentral's name for it is "long non-coding RNA NONBTAT023904". The record is from RNAcentral. Lineage: Eukaryota; Metazoa; Chordata; Mammalia; Artiodactyla; Bovidae.